UGCUUUUCUGCCACUAUAAAUUGUUAAGCGGGACCCCACAAGUGAUCAGUAUACAGAAGAACAUUAAAUCAGACUUGAUAUUUACAAUGAUGAAAAUAAUUUGUCUAAUUCUUUGCUGGACAUUUACAACUGCUUUUGCAAAACCACCAAGUUGGUAUCCCGAAAAUAUCUAUGAGAUAAGAGACAAAUGUGUGGAAGAAACUCAAUUACCAAACAGCUUGGAUGUGAAAAAUGGACCGAUUGAUAAUCCCAUAGUACACAAAUAUGCACUGUGCAUGGCUAAAGGUACUAAUGUUUACAAUGAGGACACGGGCCUAAAUAUUGAUCGUUUGGCCUAUAGUUUUUAUCGAUCAAAAAGCAUGUUAAAUAGUAAAAAGCUUUUGGUGCAGGAUUGUGUUGACAAAAACAAGGAAGCUUCCUCUGAUGGAGAAAUGAUUUCUAAAGUGAUAACCUGCAUUAUUGAUAAGGAAAAUGAAAAGGAUGACUAGUUCUAGUAAUUAAGUGCAGUUAUUUUUAUUAUAUUAUACGAGUAUGUCAAUGAAAUUUAUUGUAGUUUUUAUAUAUACAUAGUUAGUAGCUUUUAUUAACCAUAUAAGGCCCCUAAGGGCUCGGUUAUAUAAAUGAAGAAUUAAUAAAAAAAAAUAAUACGAUUA
Calliphora vicina (urban bluebottle blowfly) is the source of this 653-nucleotide long non-coding RNA. RefSeq lists it as uncharacterized. The transcript is spliced from 2 exons. The record is from RefSeq and is a predicted model, not a curated record. Lineage: Eukaryota; Metazoa; Arthropoda; Insecta; Diptera; Calliphoridae.